UACGUAGGGUGCAAGCGUUGUCCGGAAUCAUUGGGCGUAAAGCGCGCGUAGGUGGUCAUGUAAGUCCGCUGUGAAAGUCAAAGGCUCAACCUUUGAAAGCCGGUGGAUACUGCAUGACUAGAGUACGGAAGAGGCGAGUGGAAUUCCUGGUGUAGCGGUGGAAUGCGCAGAUAUCAGGAAGAACACCCGUGGCGAAGGCGGCUCUCUGGGACGGUACUGACGCUGAGACGCGAAAGCGUGGGGAGCGAACAGG
This 253-nucleotide ribosomal RNA is filed under the name uncultured bacterium. Its description in RNAcentral is "partial 16S ribosomal RNA". It matches the Rfam family "Bacterial small subunit ribosomal RNA", at positions 524 to 776 of the family's 1533-position model. The record is from RNAcentral.